This 253-nucleotide ribosomal RNA is filed under the name uncultured bacterium. Its description in RNAcentral is "partial 16S ribosomal RNA". It matches the Rfam family "Bacterial small subunit ribosomal RNA", at positions 524 to 776 of the family's 1533-position model. The record is from RNAcentral.
GACGAACCGAGCGAACGUUGUUCGGAAGCACUGGGCUUAAAGGGCGCGUAGGCGGGUGCUCAAGUCCGUGGGGAAAUCCUCCGGCUCAACCGGAGAACUGCCUCGGAUACUGGGUGCCUCGAGGGUGGUAGGGGUAUGCGGAACUAUCGGUGGAGCGGUGAAAUGCGUUGAUAUCGAUAGGAACUCCGGUGGCGAAGGCGGCAUACUGGACCACCUCUGACGCUGAGGCGCGAAAGCCAGGGGAGCAAACGGG